GAUGAACGCUGGCGGCGUGCUUAACACAUGCAAGUCGAACGAAACACCUUAUUUGAUUUUCUUCGGAACUGAAGAUUUGGUGAUUGAGUGGCGGACGGGUGAGUAACGCGUGGGUAACCUGCCCUGUACAGGGGGAUAACAGUCAGAAAUGACUGCUAAUACCGCAUAAGACCACAGCACCGCAUGGUGCAGGGGUAAAAACUCCGGUGGUACAGGAUGGACCCGCGUCUGAUUAGCUGGUUGGUGAGGUAACGGCUCACCAAGGCGACGAUCAGUAGCCGGCUUGAGAGAGUGAACGGACACAUUGGGACUGAGACACGGCCCAAACUCCUACGGGAGGCAGCAGUGGGGAAUAUUGCACAAUGGGGGAAACCCUGAUGCAGCGACGCCGCGUGAGUGAAGAAGUAUUUCGGUAUGUAAAGCCCUAUCAGCAGGGAAGAAAAUGACGGUACCUGACUAAGAAGCCCCGGCUAACUACGUG
This 481-nucleotide ribosomal RNA is filed under the name uncultured bacterium. RNAcentral describes it as "partial 16S ribosomal RNA". It matches the Rfam family "Bacterial small subunit ribosomal RNA", at positions 28 to 507 of the family's 1533-position model. The record is from RNAcentral.